Molecule: ribosomal RNA, 2900 nt
Filed under: Klebsiella pneumoniae
Lineage: Bacteria; Pseudomonadati; Pseudomonadota; Gammaproteobacteria; Enterobacterales; Enterobacteriaceae
Description: bacterial LSU rRNA
Rfam family: Bacterial large subunit ribosomal RNA
Source: RNAcentral
UUAAGCGACUAAGCGUACACGGUGGAUGCCCUGGCAGUCAGAGGCGAUGAAGGACGUGCUAAUCUGCGAAAAGCGUCGGUAAGGUGAUAUGAACCGUUAUAACCGGCGAUGUCCGAAUGGGGAAACCCAGUGUGAUUCGUCACACUAUCGUUAACUGAAUACAUAGGUUAACGAGGCGAACCGGGGGAACUGAAACAUCUAAGUACCCCGAGGAAAAGAAAUCAACCGAGAUUCCCCCAGUAGCGGCGAGCGAACGGGGAGCAGCCCAGAGUCUGAAUCAGCUUGUGUGUUAGUGGAACGGUCUGGAAAGUCCGACGGUACAGGGUGAUAGUCCCGUACACCAAAAUGCACAGGUUGUGAACUCGAAGAGUAGGGCGGGACACGUGGUAUCCUGUCUGAAUAUGGGGGGACCAUCCUCCAAGGCUAAAUACUCCUGACUGACCGAUAGUGAACCAGUACCGUGAGGGAAAGGCGAAAAGAACCCCGGCGAGGGGAGUGAAAAAGAACCUGAAACCGUGUACGUACAAGCAGUGGGAGCACCUUCGGGUGUGACUGCGUACCUUUUGUAUAAUGGGUCAGCGACUUAUAUUCUGUAGCAAGGUUAACCGAAUAGGGGAGCCGCAGGGAAACCGAGUCUUAACUGGGCGUUAAGUUGCAGGGUAUAGACCCGAAACCCGGUGAUCUAGCCAUGGGCAGGUUGAAGGUUGGGUAACACUAACUGGAGGACCGAACCGACUAAUGUUGAAAAAUUAGCGGAUGACUUGUGGCUGGGGGUGAAAGGCCAAUCAAACCGGGAGAUAGCUGGUUCUCCCCGAAAGCUAUUUAGGUAGCGCCUCGUGAACUCAUCUUCGGGGGUAGAGCACUGUUUCGGCUAGGGGGUCAUCCCGACUUACCAACCCGAUGCAAACUACGAAUACCGAAGAAUGUUAUCACGGGAGACACACGGCGGGUGCUAACGUCCGUCGUGAAGAGGGAAACAACCCAGACCGCCAGCUAAGGUCCCAAAGUCAUGGUUAAGUGGGAAACGAUGUGGGAAGGCACAGACAGCCAGGAUGUUGGCUUAGAAGCAGCCAUCAUUUAAAGAAAGCGUAAUAGCUCACUGGUCGAGUCGGCCUGCGCGGAAGAUGUAACGGGGCUAAACCAUGCACCGAAGCUGCGGCAGCGACACUAUGUGUUGUUGGGUAGGGGAGCGUUCUGUAAGCCUGCGAAGGUGUGCUGUGAGGCAUGCUGGAGGUAUCAGAAGUGCGAAUGCUGACAUAAGUAACGAUAAAGCGGGUGAAAAGCCCGCUCGCCGGAAGACCAAGGGUUCCUGUCCAACGUUAAUCGGGGCAGGGUGAGUCGACCCCUAAGGCGAGGCCGAAAGGCGUAGUCGAUGGGAAACAGGUUAAUAUUCCUGUACUUGGUGUUACUGCGAAGGGGGGACGGAGAAGGCUAUGUUAGCCGGGCGACGGUUGUCCCGGUUUAAGCAUGUAGGCUGGUUAUCCAGGCAAAUCCGGAUAAUCAAGGCUGAGGUGUGAUGACGAGGCACUACGGUGCUGAAGUAACAAAUGCCCUGCUUCCAGGAAAAGCCUCUAAGCAUCAGGUAACAUUAAAUCGUACCCCAAACCGACACAGGUGGUCAGGUAGAGAAUACCAAGGCGCUUGAGAGAACUCGGGUGAAGGAACUAGGCAAAAUGGUGCCGUAACUUCGGGAGAAGGCACGCUGGUGUGUAGGUGAAGUCCCUGCGGAUGGAGCUGAGACCAGUCGAAGAUACCAGCUGGCUGCAACUGUUUAUUAAAAACACAGCACUGUGCAAACACGAAAGUGGACGUAUACGGUGUGACGCCUGCCCGGUGCCGGAAGGUUAAUUGAUGGGGUUAUCCGUAAGGAGAAGCUCUUGAUCGAAGCCCCGGUAAACGGCGGCCGUAACUAUAACGGUCCUAAGGUAGCGAAAUUCCUUGUCGGGUAAGUUCCGACCUGCACGAAUGGCGUAAUGAUGGCCAGGCUGUCUCCACCCGAGACUCAGUGAAAUUGAACUCGCUGUGAAGAUGCAGUGUACCCGCGGCAAGACGGAAAGACCCCGUGAACCUUUACUAUAGCUUGACACUGAACAUUGAGCCUUGAUGUGUAGGAUAGGUGGGAGGCUUUGAAGCGUGGACGCCAGUCUGCGUGGAGCCAACCUUGAAAUACCACCCUUUAAUGUUUGAUGUUCUAACGUUGGCCCCUGACCGGGGUUGCGGACAGUGUCUGGUGGGUAGUUUGACUGGGGCGGUCUCCUCCCAAAGCGUAACGGAGGAGCACGAAGGUUAGCUAAUCCUGGUCGGACAUCAGGAGGUUAGUGCAAUGGCAUAAGCUAGCUUGACUGCGAGCGUGACGGCGCGAGCAGGUGCGAAAGCAGGUCAUAGUGAUCCGGUGGUUCUGAAUGGAAGGGCCAUCGCUCAACGGAUAAAAGGUACUCCGGGGAUAACAGGCUGAUACCGCCCAAGAGUUCAUAUCGACGGCGGUGUUUGGCACCUCGAUGUCGGCUCAUCACAUCCUGGGGCUGAAGUAGGUCCCAAGGGUAUGGCUGUUCGCCAUUUAAAGUGGUACGCGAGCUGGGUUUAGAACGUCGUGAGACAGUUCGGUCCCUAUCUGCCGUGGGCGCUGGAGAAUUGAGGGGGGCUGCUCCUAGUACGAGAGGACCGGAGUGGACGCAUCACUGGUGUUCGGGUUGUCAUGCCAAUGGCACUGCCCGGUAGCUAAAUGCGGAAGAGAUAAGUGCUGAAAGCAUCUAAGCACGAAACUUGCCCCGAGAUGAGUUCUCCCUGAGACUAUAAGUCUCCUGAAGGAACGUUAAAGACGAUGACGUUGAUAGGCCGGGUGUGUAAGCGCAGCGAUGCGUUGAGCUAACCGGUACUAAUGAACCGUGAGGCUUAACCUU